This 73-nucleotide transfer RNA is filed under the name Bos taurus (domestic cattle). It matches the Rfam family "tRNA". Rfam says of the family: Transfer RNA (tRNA) molecules are approximately 80 nucleotides in length. Their secondary structure includes four short double-helical elements and three loops (D, anti-codon, and T loops). Lineage: Eukaryota; Metazoa; Chordata; Mammalia; Artiodactyla; Bovidae. RNAcentral also lists the same sequence under 4 other names. The record is from Rfam by way of RNAcentral.
UCCCCAAUGGCUCAGAAGGUAAAUGCAUCUGCCUGCAAUGCAGGAGACCCAGGUUCGAUUCCUGGGUCAGGAA